Molecule: long non-coding RNA, 1476 nt
Organism: Brassica napus (rape)
Lineage: Eukaryota; Viridiplantae; Streptophyta; Magnoliopsida; Brassicales; Brassicaceae
Exons: 6
Source: RefSeq, a predicted model, not a curated record
AUGAGUAUGCUUAUGUUUUGAAAUCUAUUAUUAUAAAAAAAUGUUUGUGACUCUCAUGUGAGGCCACGUCAACAAUUCAUGUAUUCUGGGAAUGACACCUGUCCUUUACAAUCAUACGCUGCAUUUUGUUUGAAUCGUUUAUGGGUUUUACGAAGGCAAGCCGGCUUGGACUAACGUUAUUUGGGCUCAUAACAAAACAAAAUCAAAGCCGAAUUCUUACCUUCACCUUCUUCAGACAUUGCGACCAUGGAUUUCUAGGGUUCAUCAUGUUGUGGGAGCUUUGAUUAGGUCAACCGACUAUGGAGUUUCUGGAGUUUUAUGUUACAUGAAUCGUCAUUCGUUUGAGGAUCCUCUCCUCCAGACCGUUACAGAUGCUUUGAUUGAUAGUCUUAACUCAUUCUCCCCACUCUUACCAAGAUUCCUCAUUCAAUGCACUUCUCUUCCAGUCGGUCAAUCUUUUGCUAUAAAAAGAUGGUAGCUGUAGCACCACCGUCCAAGGCCGUCUGGGAGGCCAAGAAAGUUAAAAGAGGUCGCGAGCUUAUGGGCGUCGUAUGCUUCUCCUUGAUGCCAAGGUAGCCCCGGCGAUUUCCAAAACAAACCAUUCCCUUUUCCUUUAAGAUUUACAAGUGAAGCUUUCCUUCUCUGCAGCAAAUAACAAUUUCCAUGUCUGAAGACAGGCACCAACCAAAGUAAAUGCAUGCUAAAGGAGGAACAAAUAAUGGAUCUAUCAAGGCCUCCCAUUGCAUACUUUGAACAUCAUAUUUGUUCUUCUUUGUGGAACAUUCACCGUAAACGGCAAAGUAAAUCCAGCAUCGGAAGCUAAUGGUUGGCGAUCCAAAAGCUGCAGAUAUUGUGUUCACAUGUGGGGUCUAUAUAAUUGACAUUAAGUUCGGCUUUGGUUUGUCUCUCCACAUUAUUUAAAAAGCUACCCUUUUUGCUUAUACUUUGGCCCAGAGAAAAUUGAUGGUUAGUAGUUUCGGUCACUGGUGAGGUAACAUUGGUGUAGAAACUCUCUUCAGAGUUCUUUUUGGGUUCAAAAAGAAAACAUGGCAAUGGUGGUGAAGAAACUCAUCCAGAUGAGCUUGGAAAUGGACACACUGGGAAAAGAGCUAUGGUUUCAAGAGGAGAGAUGACGUUUCAAGAUGUUUACGGUGCAGAGGCAUUGCUGAAUGAAGAAGAUGAGGAGGAUGAUAGUGGUUGGAACCUGAGCAGCAGACGAUGCCCGUUGAGUUUGUGAAAUGGUGUUGCGUCAAUUCCACUAUGGUGAAUCGUGGUGAUAUGGUCCAUUGUUAUGUAUGUUUUGCUUUCACUAUGACCCAUGAAGUUAUUAUGACAGGUUCUUCGGAAAAUCACUGUCUCCUUUGAUGCUAAACAUUGUUAUCAUAAUCACACAUUAUUUUAACACAUGUUAUCUUUGUAGAUUGUAAUUGUCUUUGUAAUGUUCCUUUUUGAAAUUAUUUUCUUAUGUUCAGUACA